UACGAAGGGGCUAGCGUUGCUCGGAAUCACUGGGCGUAAAGCGCACGUAGGCGGACUCUUAAGUCGGUGGUGAAAUCCUGGAGCUCAACUCCAGAACUGCCUUCGAUACUGAGAGUCUCGAGUCCGGGAGAGGUGAGUGGAACUGCGAGUGUAGAGGUGAAAUUCGUAGAUAUUCGCAAGAACACCAGUGGCGAAGGCGGCUCACUGGCCCGGUACUGACGCUGAGGUGCGAAAGCGUGGGGAGC
This 245-nucleotide ribosomal RNA is filed under the name uncultured bacterium. Its description in RNAcentral is "partial 16S ribosomal RNA". It matches the Rfam family "Bacterial small subunit ribosomal RNA", at positions 524 to 769 of the family's 1533-position model. The record is from RNAcentral.